AAAAAUUUGUAGUUUAAAUCUACCAAGUUGCCUUAGCUGACAAACGAAUGUAGGGAUCUAGCAGUGGAGGGGAAAAAAGAGACGUCGAAGGAAAACUGUUUCUUUCUUAAAUAAUCAGAAGGAAAAAAAAAAAAAACUGUAGUGACAAGAUAGGGCAAACGUGCUUGCAUGCAAGCCCCCUCACUCGUUCUACGUAGACUUCAGAGCAACACCAUGCAGCAUCCCCUUACGGGUGCAACCUGCGUGGCACUGCCGAAUGUGGGCAUGUGUCCCCAGCUCUCCUGUGCCUUGACUUUUAUGUACUUACAGCAGAGGUUUGUGAGAGCUUAGGUAGCUACUGUUCAUGUGGGGACAGCAUCCAAGGGCCAAACCAGAAAAGUCAGAGCUUGGAUUUGAAGUGCCAUGCUGCUAUACGUUUAGAAGCAUGUUGUUCUAGGGAGGCAAGCAAAGCAUCUUUUUAUUAAAACAGCUGAUGUGGGCUUUGCCCGUGACAGAAGUUAUUUGGUUCUAGCUCUGAGUUUGGAAGAAGUUGGUAUAUAGAUUUUCCCCUAACUUUCAAUUGAUGUGUUUAGCUUUAGUGGGAGUAAUACUAUCACUUAAACCAUGUUGUCGUCUCAAGGAGUUUUGCUACAUCCGUAUGGAGUGCCAAUGAUUCUGCCAGCAGCACCAUACUUCGCUGGACUUGUUCAGGUAAUGCAAGGCCGCUUCCAACAAGCAACUUAACUCUAGUGCACUUAGAGUAAUAAUUGGAAUUUUUAUGGUUGAGAAAGCAAACACUUUUAAUACAGGCAAAAGCUCUCAUGUAGUCUGUGAGAAGACAGUAGGAAAUCAAAAAGAUGGAUCACCCUAAUCU
Non-coding RNA from Tinamus guttatus (white-throated tinamou), 853 nucleotides. The record is from RefSeq and is a predicted model, not a curated record. Lineage: Eukaryota; Metazoa; Chordata; Aves; Tinamiformes; Tinamidae.